CCGCGCGGGCGGCGAAGGAGCGCGGGUGUCUGGGCCGCGUGUAGGUGGCCGUCUGGGGCCGCGGGGGAGGUGAAGGAUCCGCCGCAUCUCGGGGUGCGGGCGCGGCUUGGACUGGUGUUCCUUCUUGCUCAGUGCUAGACUUGCUUGCCGGGGUCCCGGGUGCGGCCCUUGGCCAAGCUGUGCGCACCUGAGGCGCAGUGCGAGGGUCUCGAACCCGCUCCCUCGCGUCUGGGCCGCUGUUGCAGGCCUCGGGGACCGCCAUGUCCUCAAGGACUCAGAAUCGGUGGGACGGGUCCUCUGACUGGCGAGCUGCUCCUCUCUGUCCUCGCACCCCUCACCCGCCCUCUGCUCGGAAGAGAAAUAGUCUGAAUGAAGAGAACAACCAAGAAGUAUCAGUCCUCAGUCACCAGUUGAACACCUUCAAACAGGAAAAGAGAGGAAGAUCCAAAUGAUGCUCCUCAUUACUGCCCAACCUCUUGGAACCCUGAAGGAAAUGUAAUCUGCUUGGGCUAGAAAUUUCCUGGUUACAACCUCCAUAAAGAAACGUGUGGUUCGGCUGCUUUCCACAGGCUUGACGCCUCACCCAUGAGAGAAUCUGCAGAAAACACCAGCACUGGAAACACAGGACCAUUAUGAAGACUCGGUGCCUGAACAGCUCAUGAACACACCCCAGCACAAACUGUCAUUAUUAGGAGCGAUAAGUUGUCCCCUGGAACUUCAGGACCUCAUCCACACCUGUGGCUUCUGAUAACUUUGGUAAAUUGAACAAUCUGUGACCCAGUCAUAGCAGCCCUGCAGCUCAUGCCGAGGCCCAGGAACACAAAGCAAGCCUGAAGAAGACCAUUCUUUUCUCAGAAAAUUCUAAUCAGAGAAACAAACAGUCAUCCACAGGGACUAUUUAAAAAAAA
Molecule: long non-coding RNA, 908 nt
Organism: Sorex araneus (European shrew)
Lineage: Eukaryota; Metazoa; Chordata; Mammalia; Eulipotyphla; Soricidae
Exons: 4
Source: RefSeq, a predicted model, not a curated record